Molecule: ribosomal RNA, 912 nt
Filed under: uncultured archaeon
Lineage: Archaea
Description: bacterial SSU rRNA
Rfam family: Archaeal small subunit ribosomal RNA
Source: RNAcentral
CUGGUUGAUCCUGCCGGCGGCCACCGCUAUAGGAAUUCGAUUAAGACAUGCGAGUCGAGAGUCUUCGGGACUCGGCGCACUGCUCAGUAACACGUGGAUAACAUGCCCUUAGGUGGAGGAUAAGCUCGGGAAACUGAGGAUAAUACUCCAUAGAUCAUGGGAGCUGGAAUGCCCCAUGGUCCAAAGUUCCGGCGCCUAAGGAUUGGUCCGCGGCCUAUCAGGUCGUAGUGGGUGUAACGGACCCACUAGCCUAUGACGGGUAUGGGCCUUGAGAGAGGGAGCCCAGAGAUGGACUCUGAGACACGAGUCCAGGCCCUACGGGGCGCGGCAGUCGCGAAAACUUCACACUGGGGGCAACCCCGAUGAGGGAAUUCCUAGUGCAUGCAUUUAAUGUAUGCUUUUCUUUAGUUUAGAAAGCUAAAGGAAUAAGGGCUGGGUAAGACGGGUGCCAGCCGCCGCGGUAAUACCCGCAGCCCAAGUGGUGGUCGAUAUUAUUGAGUCUAAAACGUUCGUAGCCUGUUCAAUAAAUCCUUGGGUAAAUCGGUGAGCUCAACUUACCGAAUUCCGAGGCGACUGUUGAACUUGGGACCGGGAGAGGCAAGAGGUACUUCUGGGGUAGGGGUAAAAUCCUGUAAUCCUAGAAGGACCACCGGUGGCGAAGGCGUCUUGCUAGAACGGAUCCGACGGUGAGGGACGAAGCCCUGGGGCGCAAACGGGAUUAGAUACCCCGGUAGUCCAGGGUGUAAACGCUGCAGGCUUGGUGUUGGAGACCCUUCGGGGGUGUUCAGUGCCGGAGAGAAGUUGUUAAGCCUGCUACUUGGGGAGUACGUCCGCAAGGAUGAAACUUAAAGGAAUUGGCGGGGGAGCACCGCAACGGGAGGAGCGUGCGGUUUAAUUGGAUUCAACGCCGGG